Molecule: ribosomal RNA, 402 nt
Filed under: uncultured prokaryote
Description: bacterial SSU rRNA
Rfam family: Bacterial small subunit ribosomal RNA
Source: RNAcentral
UGGGGAAUAUUGGACAAUGGGCGCAAGCCUGAUCCAGCCAUGCCGCGUGAGUGAUGAAGGCCUUAGGGUUGUAAAGCUCUUUCACCCACGACGAUAAUGACGGUAGUGGGAGAAGAAGCCCCGGCUAACUUCGUGCCAGCAGCCGCGGUAAUACGAAGGGGGCUAGCGUUGUUCGGAAUCACUGGGCGUAAAGCGUACGUAGGCGGACCGUUAAGUCGGAGGUGAAAUCCUGGGGCUCAACCCCAGAACUGCCUUCGAUACUGGCGGUCUCGAGUCCGGAAGAGGGUAGGGGAACGGGCAGUGUAGAGGUGAAAUUCGUAGAUAUGGGCAAGAACACCAGUGGCGAAGGCGGCUCACUGGUCCGGUACUGACGCUGAGGUACGAAAGCGUGGGGAGCAAACA